ACCAACUGAGCCACCCAGGCGCCCAAGAUGUUAUUCUGAAGACGAAGGAUUACAGUGAGAUUCUUUCAUGCAUCUCCUCUAGCCCUGGUGCGACCAGGAUCGCACUGACCUUGGACAUCCAAGGAAGGGCCAUCAGUGGGCAGCCGCAUCCCUGUCUUGGUGCUUCUCUUUCCAGAGGCUGCUCUCCCUGGAGCUCACUGAUUGCUCAGUGCCUUUGUCCCCUGUCCUGACUUUCCACCUCGAGAUACUGACUCUGUGUUGGAUCUCUUCUGUGAGGCAAAGGUAAUUCUUUCACACAAAUGCUGAAAGCCGUCUGAGCUACCUGCUGAACAUUUUGCAUCCGGUCCCCUCAGCAUAUGGCUGCACUGGAGAUUUCUAGAAUUCCAGGAAGUCACAGAGAUUCUGUGCAAUGGACCCGGGAACACCACUUCACAUUCUUCUCUGGGUCAUUUCAGCAAGAUUCUGCAGAAUUAUUUUGAUUGAUAGGUCUCUUGUUUAGAUGUUUCCAAAAACGUUAAUACCCUUGGUGAAAGAGCAAGGUAAGAAUUUAAGAUGUGUUCAUAAUAAAACAUAGUAGAUUACUAUUUUUGUGGUUCUGUGGGCAUCUGAAUUUAAUACUGUUUAUUUUUUUUCUGUUCAGUUAGCCAGCAUAUUGAAUUUAAUACUUUUUUUUUUUUUUUAAAGAGAGAGAAAUGGUGCUACCCAAAGGGUAUUCUCCGCAAGCUGGGACCGUCCCUCCGCCACCCACACGGGUCUUGUCGCUUUGCCUGGGAGGGCGCGCUCCCACGCUGAUGGCGUGCCUCGGAAGCCUGUGGUGCUGUCAUCUUUCCCCACGCACAUGCACAGAAACCCAAGGAUGGCGUGAAAGCACGAGAAGCUGUCGUGGCGGGGACGGUCCCGAGACGGCGCCACAGGCUGAGCUGAACGAGAGUGACCUGGCCCCCAGGCUCCGCAUCUGGCUGACUUCAACACGUUCCUUCAUUAGCAGCUCUUGGUCUUCAGAAUUCUUCCAGGGUGACUGCUAUUCUAGAAGGUUUCCCAGGGGGUUUGCUCUUCGCCGUUACAUGCGCUCUAAGGAUGGCCAGUUUUGCGAAAUCAUAAUAGAAGAUGUUGAUGAAACCACAUUGCUGAAAGAGAAAGAAAAACAGAAGAAAAAGAAAAAAGAGCCUCCACCCACACCUCCUCCAUCUCCACCCCAACCCUGUCCACCAAAGAAAAAGAAGCGCCCUGACCAAGAGCAGAAAGCCAUAAAGAUCCAGGCGUGGUGGCGGGGCACUCUGGUGCGCAGGACCUUGCUACACGCAGCACUCAGAGCAUGUAUCAUUCAGCACUGGUGGAAGGUGACGCUGGCAAAGCUGCUGGAGAAGAGAAAACGAGCAGUCCUCGAGUCUUUCCUGUGGCAAGAAUGGGCAGCGGUCAAGCUGCAGUCCUUGGUCCGCAUGUGGCGCAUCCGCCAGAGAUACUGCCGUUUGCUCCAUGCAGCCCGCAUCAUCCAGGUCUAUUGGCGUUGGCAUAAUUACCGUACCCGUGGCUUUUUCCGUGGCAACUAUGACCUCACAGCAACCCAUCUGGGUCUUGAACUCGAGAUUUUUUUGGGGUCACAGAUGUGUCGGAUUACAGACAACAUCCCCUUCCCAAUAAAGAACUAACUGAUCAGGUCUGCUCCCACUCUGUGUUACCGUGUCUCUGUCAGACCAGCCCCAGGAGGUCCCUGUGUCAGCAAAGGGUCAGGGAAAAUGAUGGCAGAGACUGGCACGCUCAGCUCUGAGGAAGUGGCUGAGGUCAUUUGGGGUCCCUGGUGGAGAAGGAUUCUGAGCAUCCAGUGCUGGGUGAGUGGGGCCUGUAAUUGAUGAGCAAUGUCUGCCAUGGGUAGGAGAGUUGAGGUUGCAGGGCCGCCCACUCAGCCAACUCCAGAGACACUCCUUUACAGUGUGGUCCAUGUACAUGGCGCCCCCUGUGGUUGUGCCACAUGGAGGUUGCGUCAUCUGAUGCUCUUCAUUCUUCAGUGUCUUCCCAUUAAAUUUAGAACAAUUCCAAAAGCCCUCCUGGGUCUCCAUAAGCCUGCAUGAUCUGGCCCUGGCCGUGUCACCCUCUCUAUGUCCCUCCUGGCCACCCUGCUCUUCAGAUCUCCCCCCCUGACUCACACUCUCAUCUCAGAACUUUUCACUUGUUGCCUCCUCUCCUUAGAUAGCCUUUCCAGAUGGAGCUCCCCUCCACUCACAUGUCUCUGCUCCAUGCUCCCUCCUCAGGGAGACCUUCUUUGACCAUCUUAUUGAAAUGGCUUCCCCACCUGCUACUGUAUGUUCUACUACCUGACUCUGCUUUCCUGUUUUCAAAGUCCCAAUUACUACCCAAGCUUAUCUUACCUCAUUUUCUAUUUUCUGUUGCCCCCACUAGCAGGCGAGUUCCAGGAGAGCAAGGACUCUGGGUUCAGUGCUGUUCCCAGAACCUAGGUCAGUAGGUUCUCUCUGCUUCUCCCUCUCUCUCCCUUUCCAAUAUCUUAUUAUAUAUGUGUAUAUUUUUUAGGUUCUUCAUAUUAGGCCAUUUUGUCGUCCUUAAAAAAAUCCCUGUCUGAGUUGGGAGAGACUGCCCCUCCCAGGGCCAGCCAGUUCUUAGAGAUAGCAAAGGACUCAUCCCAGAACAUGCCUUUCAUCCACAAACGAACAAGUUCAGGGCCAUACCUCCUCUCUCUUUGUCCUGUACACCCCCAGAAGGCCAUAUUCCUCUGCUUUAAUCAUCCCAAGCCAGGUACGAGGCAUCUGAGGUCCCCCCAACAACUUAGAGACCACAGAAAAUACUCAAACCAGCCAAUCCUAAACUGUUUACCCUAUCCUGCCUUGCCUUUCCCACUCCAACAAAGGCCAUGGGAAAAGCUGUUUUCUCAGUCCUGCCUUCUGCCACCUGACCAUACCUGAUGCUGCCCUGUGACCCUGGGGGACCGGCAGUGACCUCCUCUUUCAGACCUUGGAGUAUAAUAAAUUUUGUGUUCUUGGGCUUCUGUUCUCUUGUGGCCGCACCUGACAGACCAUCACAUAAAAGAACACAGAACAUGAAUCUAAUUUAAGUAAAAUUCACAUAACCAUUUUUAGAUUCACCACAUAAUAACAAAUUCAGUGGCAUUUAGUACCUUCACAGUGUUAAGCAACCACUAUGAUCUGUAUCCAGUUCUAAAACAUUUUCACUGUCCUAAAUGAGAACCCUGUGCCCCUGAAGCAAUCACUUGCCUGCAUCCCAUCCUCCAGCCAAUGGCAACCACCAAUCUGCAGCCUGUCUCCAUAGAUUUCCCUCCUGGGGACUUUUCAUAUAAAUGAAAUCAUAAAAUAUUCUGUGUUGGUUUUACUUAAUAUGUUUUUGAGGCUCAUCCACACUGUAGCAUGCAUCAGUCCUUCAUUACUUUUUUAAAAAGAUUUAUUAUUUUAGAGA
This is a long non-coding RNA of Mirounga angustirostris (Northern elephant seal), 3423 nucleotides long. RefSeq lists it as uncharacterized. The transcript is spliced from 3 exons. NCBI's taxonomy places the organism in Eukaryota, Metazoa, Chordata, Mammalia, Carnivora, Phocidae. The record is from RefSeq and is a predicted model, not a curated record.